This 1278-nucleotide unclassified non-coding RNA is filed under the name Cimex lectularius (bed bug). RNAcentral describes it as "uPF0769 protein C21orf59, transcript variant X5". The record is from RNAcentral. Lineage: Eukaryota; Metazoa; Arthropoda; Insecta; Hemiptera; Cimicidae.
GGGUACAGAAACCUGGGAAGACCCAGUAGCGAUGGAGCGGCCGAAAAGCUCAGAACUGGCGUCGGACACGUGAGAAAUCUCUUGUUGCAGGUAAUGGAGGCGAGGUAGUGAGUGGCCUCUACCGACCAUGGCCGAACAGCCUCCUGACCAACAGACCCUCCAAAAGAAAUUGCUCUUCUACGUCACUGCCAGCUUCAUCCUCCUCGCCACUUUUAGCCUGUUCGCCUUCCUCUUCCUCGUGCCUUUCGUCAUCGAGCCAGCCUUCACGACGAUUUUUAUGGAGUUCGACGAAACCCCAGUGACGUGUCAGACUAUAGAAACUAUCCACAACAAAGGGAUGUCGAAUUGUUCGUGGACGUCCUGCAAAGAGGGUUGUACAAAAGAUGUUUUCACUUGUACGCAGAUAAGAGUCAAUUACAAGGUGGACAGGGCUGAGAGGGGUGUAGGGGACAGGGCUGGUCGGGUCCCUAGAGCGAUCAGAGAUUACGACUAUCGCGAAGGCUACGACACCGUUCCGCAGGACUUGAUCGAAGACGAGGUCGCCACCGGUCCGGUGCACGGUUUCGCCCCGAACGGCUCCGAAUGGUAUUUCAUCGGCGCCAAGUUGCACCCGAACGUGAAGGGUUGCGGAUACCCGCCGAUGCUCAACUGUACCAUCUGGGUCCAGAAGCACAAGGAGGAAGGGGCCAACUUUUCCUGUUAUUAUUCUAGAAUAGAGCCCGGUCUGGUCAUUACCGAUCUGGACAUGUGGCAGGUCUACAUGAACCUGGUCUACGCCAUGGCGAUACCCAUCCCGUCCUUUAUCGUGUCCAUCAUCUAUCUCGCCAUGGCCUACCUCUACAUCUACAACGAUGAGCCGACACCGCUCGACGGCGAGGCCGAGGAGAGCACACCGCUCCCUCUUCUCACACCAGUGCCGCCGCCGACUUCAGGGGCGCUCACCCCGGCUUCGGAAGUGUUCCGUGAAGACCUCGCCAGCUUCGGCCACCAGCUGAAAGUCGCUAUGGCGGAUGACAUCAGCAGAGACAGCAUCUUUACGGACAGCGUACCGCUCAGCACAAAUUCCAUCAAUGGCCUUGGCUCCGCCGCUUCGAAACAAUUGGCUGCUUUUAGCACAAUGAAGAUGGAAGGGUAGGCUCCAAUUGGCGCCCGACGACGAGGAAACAGCCUCGAAUCGGUGGAUCCGCCAGCGGAGAAACUUGAACAAGAUGAUGACGACGAGUAUUAUAACGCCCCCUGGGCCGAUAGCUCAAGUCUGAAACGAUCCUUCCAACGCAU